UGAUAUCAAUGCUGAGAAACAUGCUAGGGAUCCAUAUGAAAAUGCAAGAGAAUUUGCUGCAAUGAACCAACAGUACAACAACAGGAACACCUAUGGAAACAAUGAAUACAGCACCAACAAUAACAGAUUUGAGAAUGAAGAGGAGUUCCAAGUUGAAGACAACAUGCCUUGAGCUUUUGUUCAACACUUUGAUGAAAACAAAAAAAAAGCCAACAACAACAGUUUUGAGAAUGAAGAGGAGUUCCAAGUUGAAGACAACAUGCCUUGAGCUAUUGUUCAACACUUUGAUGAAAACAAAAAAAGUAAACAUAGUGAGCCAAAAGGAAUGUUAUGUGUCCCACAAUUAUCAUUAAUGUUGUUUUCCUUUUUUAUCUAAGUUAUAUUUUAUUAGCAAAAUGUUAAUUAAACUACAGAGUUGUUUUUGGGUUUUUUAUGUAUAAUUAUGAUGAAUUUCUACUGAUACACAGUUAUGAUUAUAAGGACUUGUAUUUUUAAAUCCACAGUGAAAAAAAUUGUAGUGAUCAAAUAUCAUUGUGUCAACUAGCUUAUGCCAGUAAGCAAUCUAA
Molecule: long non-coding RNA, 566 nt
Filed under: Nicotiana benthamiana
Lineage: Eukaryota; Viridiplantae; Streptophyta; Magnoliopsida; Solanales; Solanaceae
Description: long non-coding RNA (NBEN_LNC041298)
Source: RNAcentral